RNAcentral lists this ribosomal RNA (450 nucleotides) under uncultured bacterium. RNAcentral describes it as "partial 16S ribosomal RNA". It matches the Rfam family "Bacterial small subunit ribosomal RNA", at positions 354 to 796 of the family's 1533-position model. The record is from RNAcentral.
GUGGGGAAUUUUGGACAAUGGGCGCAAGCCUGAUCCAGCAAUGCCGCGUGCAGGAAGAAGGCCUUCGGGUUGUAAACUGCUUUUGUACGGAACGAAACGGUCCGGGUUAAUACCCUGGGCUAAUGACGGUACCGUAAGAAUAAGCACCGGCUAACUACGUGCCAGCAGCCGCGGUAAUACGUAGGGUGCAAGCGUUAAUCGGAAUUACUGGGCGUAAAGCGUGCGCAGGCGGUUAUGUAAGACAGGCGUGAAAUCCCCGGGCUCAACCUGGGAAUGGCGCUUGUGACUGCAAAGCUGGAGUGCGGCAGAGGGGGAUGGAAUUCCGCGUGUAGCAGUGAAAUGCGUAGAUAUGCGGAGGAACACCGAUGGCGAAGGCAAUCCCCUGGGCCUGCACUGACGCUCAUGCACGAAAGCGUGGGGAGCAAACAGGAUUAGAUACCCCAGUAGUCC